RNAcentral lists this ribosomal RNA (460 nucleotides) under uncultured bacterium. RNAcentral's name for it is "partial 16S ribosomal RNA". It matches the Rfam family "Bacterial small subunit ribosomal RNA", at positions 338 to 795 of the family's 1533-position model. The record is from RNAcentral.
CCUACGGGGGUCAGCAGUGAGGAAUAUUGGUCAAUGGACGGAAGUCUGAACAAGCCAUGCCGCUUGCAGGAAGACGGCUCUAUAGGUGGUAAACUGCUUUUGUACAAGGGUAAACCUGAAUACGGGUAUUCAGCUGCAAGUACUGUACGAAUAGGGACCGGCUAACUCCGUGCCAGAAGCCGCGGUAAUACGGAGGAUCCAGGCGUUAUCCGGAUUUGUUGGGUUUAAAGGGUGCGUAGGCGGAUUGAUAAGUUAGAGGUGAAAUGUCCGAGCUUAACUCGGGAACUGCCUCUAAUACUGUUGAUCUAGAGAGUAGAUGCGGUAGGCGGAAUGUAUGGUGUAGCGGUGAAAUGCUUAGAGAUCAUACAGAACACCGAUUGCGAAGGCAGCUUACCAAUCUAUAUCUGACGUUGAGGCACGAAAGCGUGGGGAGCAAACAGGAUUAGAUACCCGGGUAGUC